This 492-nucleotide ribosomal RNA is filed under the name uncultured bacterium. RNAcentral describes it as "partial 16S ribosomal RNA". It matches the Rfam family "Bacterial small subunit ribosomal RNA", at positions 29 to 507 of the family's 1533-position model. The record is from RNAcentral.
AGUGAACGCUGGCGGUAGGCCUAACACAUGCAAGUCGAACGGCAGCACAGUAAGAGCUUGCUCUUACGGGUGGCGAGUGGCGGACGGGUGAGGAAUACAUCGGAAUCUACUUUUUCGUGGGGGAUAACGUAGGGAAACCUACGCUAAUACCGCAUACGACCUACGGGUGAAAGCAGGGGAUCUUCGGACCUUGCGCGAUUGAAUGAGCCGAUGCCGGAUUAGCUAGUUGGCGGGGUAAAGGCCCACCAAGGCGACGAUCCGUAGCUGGUCUGAGAGGAUGAUCAGCCACACUGGAACUGAGACACGGUCCAGACUCCUACGGGAGGCAGCAGUGGGGAAUAUUGGACAAUGGGCGCAAGCCUGAUCCAGCCAUACCGCGUGGGUGAAGAAGGCCUUCGGGUUGUAAAACCCUUUUGUUGGGAAAGAAAAGCAGCAGGUUAAUACCCCGCUGUUCUGACGGUACCCAAAGAAUAAGCACCGGCUAACUUCGUG